CAAACAUUCCUUCUAUGAUCUAGAAGGCCUUCUGCACUCGGAACCCCAUUGUGCCCCCACUGUGGUCAGCCAGCUUAUUAUCACGAGUCAGACUUUUAUGUGUUAAGCCAUUCGGUUGAUUCUCACUUGGAUAUUAUUAAUGCUGCAUCUGGAGUGUGGGUAGUGUAUCUUUAAAAGAUUGCAGGCUACUAUUUAUGCACAAGUCACUAUGAAAAAAAUUGCAUUGUGUUGUAAUAAAAGAACCCUCUCAACCAGAACUGAAGUGUUGUUUUCACAACAUUGAAAGAGACUAAACGAAGCAAACUGGAAAAGCUGCUUGGUGUUGUAUUCUUGAAGAAGAGCAGAAAUAACGAAAUUUUGUUCAAUAUAUUACCUUGCUGGCGGCAGAUCUGCGGUUUUCUCAGCCCAUUUUCUAAUAAAGACUGAAUUCAUGCAUUGUUGCCACGGAUGUGUAACCUGAAUUGAAUGAAGACUUCAGACCUAAAUUCUGGUUUUAUAGGACACAUGGUUUAAAAGAGGAAGCAAUCAGAUCUAUAUAGAAAGUGGGACAUUUGGCCUGAUCUCUUCAGUAAGUCAUUGCCAUUAGAAAAAUGAGGGGAAGAAUAAAAAACAAAUAAAAAAAAUAUGGUACUUCUUUGGACUCUGGCUUGAUCAAAC
This 657-nucleotide long non-coding RNA is filed under the name Mustela putorius furo (domestic ferret). RNAcentral describes it as "lncRNA (ENSMPUG00000027625.1)". The record is from RNAcentral. Lineage: Eukaryota; Metazoa; Chordata; Mammalia; Carnivora; Mustelidae.